UCACUUAACCACAUUGUCGACGGAGGCGAUGCCUCACAGGAACGCCGCCACCAGCUGCUGCGCCCGUCACCGCGCGCUCCACGUCUCGCAGACAGACUUUAUUUGUUACCCUCUGCUCGGAGCUGUGAAUUUAACCUUCGACUUGUUACAUAUUUAUCAGCGCCAAAAUGUUCUGGAGUUUAGACGGAAGCUGCCGGCGCCUGAGUUUCACUUCGCUGAAAGUAUGUGUGUGUGUUUUUGUUUUGAGUGUGUGAGUCAGAGGGAAGGAUGUCGAUGCACAGCCCAGGGUCAGACUGCCAUGUCUUAUCUGUGGCUGCUCUGUGAUAAAACCAGCAGCAGCAGCAGCAGCACAGACUUGUACACAGUGUCCAAAAGGACGAGGCUGCUGAAACAAAUCUUUUAAGCCAAGACUUUAAAUCAAGAAUUAAAUUAACAACUGGAUCUACACCUCAUCAACUCAUUGCCCCAAAAAAUAUGUUGCAUCCUAAUAACAAGAAGAACAUUUAGCAAAUACAAACACUAUUUUAUGAUGGACGAUAUUCAUCGUCAUAAAACAGACGACCGACCUCUGACCUACUGACCAUGUCCAGAAAAUCAGGUUGUUGUCGUCUGUGAUUCUUGUCAAAUACAAGGUACAAUGUUUUGUGGACCAGGGUCAGAGGUCACAGCACAAAUACACAUCUCUUGGCGACACCUCUGUCAUUCGGAGUUGAACACAGAGCCUGUUCUGUGUCACGUCACGUCUUCAGUGACCGACCAGGUCACUUGAUUCACAUCAGGUUGUACGACCGUCGUAGAUCUGUUGUCUUUGAGGUAUUUUACUGCUCGGUGCUGGAACAGGUUCCACAGUCGACCUCAGUGUCUCCUGACUUCAGGUGAAUCAUUACGACUCAUUUAUUACUCAUUUAUUACUUUCUACUCGAGGACGACUGACGUGUUCUACUGUAGGUUUGGAGCCAAACUCAGACCCUGGACCCAGGGGUUGAGUCACUCCUAUCAAAAUAUCAAAAUCAGACUUCAACUGGAAAGAGCAGAAACAACAUUUACCAAAAACCCUGAAGAACAAAGACGUUCAGAUUCAUACAGAGCUCCAGAGUUGAUCACAUUAACUCUCACUGACACAGAACAGGCGAAACAAUAACAAGGAACAAAAACAGGACAGCGUUAGCCGUAGAUUUACUGCGUUCCAGAAUAAACAGUGAAGUCUGCGUUAAAUAAUGUUACAAACACAAAGACAGAUUAUGGCUAAUCAUGUUUGGUUAGUUAGCAUCAUCGCUAACUAGCAGAUUGCUCUCUGUAGCAUGAGUCUGUGUGUGUUGUUGUGUAUUAGCAUGAGCUGCUGUCACUGUGUCCAGGUCAAAGUCUGAGGAUGAGUUCAGGUCAAAGGUCGUCAUCUUUUCAUGCACCACAGUUUAUAUCCCAGUCUAGUUGAUGUGAACCUCAGCUGGACGUGGCCCAGAUUUGAGAUCUUGCUGUGGUUAAAGAAGUCAAAAAGCGACAGUGUUUUCUCUUGACUGCAGUGUGAACGGCCUCGACUUUAUUAGGGGAAAAUUCAGGACAGACAUUUUACAUUAUUUUUCCACAAUCCUAUUUAUUUUUGAACAGCUAAAGCAUGACCCUGAGAUGGAAUCAACACAAUUACGAGAAUUACAGCUAAAAUAAUAGUUCAAUUCUCCUGUGGCUCAGUGGCUCAGAAUAACCCAUGAAAAAAAACAAAAGCGUUCUUCCUGUUUGCUGAAAGCUACAGGAUCUACCAGAUUUAGGGAAAUUGCUUGAAUGUUUUCAAAACUACUAAAAAAAACCAGUGAAUUAUAGGAGGACGAGAACUGUCGGGAAGUCGAGACCCGUUGAUGAUUUCUACGUAAGAAGGUUAUUCCUUCAAAUAAUAAUAAUAAUAAUAA
This is a long non-coding RNA of Cynoglossus semilaevis (tongue sole), 1901 nucleotides long. RefSeq lists it as uncharacterized. The transcript is spliced from 2 exons. The record is from RefSeq and is a predicted model, not a curated record. Lineage: Eukaryota; Metazoa; Chordata; Actinopteri; Pleuronectiformes; Cynoglossidae.